RNAcentral lists this ribosomal RNA (443 nucleotides) under uncultured bacterium. RNAcentral's name for it is "bacterial SSU rRNA". It matches the Rfam family "Bacterial small subunit ribosomal RNA", at positions 360 to 793 of the family's 1533-position model. The record is from RNAcentral.
AAUAUUGCACAAUGGGGGAAACCCUGAUGCAGCCAUGCCGCGUGUGUGAAGAAGGCCUUCGGGUUGUAAAGCACUUUCAGUAGGGAGGAAGGUAGUGUAGUUAACACCUGCACUAUUUGACGUUUACCUACAGAAGAAGCACCGGCUAACUCCGUGCCAGCAGCCGCGGUAAUACGGGAGGGUGCGAGCGUUAAUCGGAAUUACUGGGCGUAAAGCGCAUGCAGGCGGCCUGUUAAGUCAGAUGUGAAAGCCCGGGGCUUAACCUCGGAAUUGCAUUUGAAACUGGCAGGCUAGAGUCUUGUAGAGGGGGUAGGAAUUUCAGGUGUAGCGGUGAAAUGCGUAGAGAUCUGAAGGAAUACCAGUGGCGAAGGCGGCCCCCUGGACAAAGACUGACGCUCAGAUGCGAAAGCGUGGGGAGCAAACAGGAUUAGAUACCCUGGUAG